Molecule: non-coding RNA, 142 nt
Filed under: Cathartes aura (turkey vulture)
Lineage: Eukaryota; Metazoa; Chordata; Aves; Accipitriformes; Cathartidae
Description: Eukaryotic large subunit ribosomal RNA
Rfam family: Eukaryotic large subunit ribosomal RNA
Source: Rfam by way of RNAcentral
GACCCGAAAGAUGGUGAACUAUGCCUGGGCAGGGCGAAGCCAGAGGAAACUCUGGUGGAGGUCCCUAGCGGUCCUGACGUGCGAAUCGGUUGUCCAGCCCAGGUCUAGGGGCAAAACACUAUUCAAACCAUCUAGUAGCUGG